GCAUUGGAUGACUUGAAAUAAAUGAAAGCCCAAAGCCCAAACAACACAAAGAGGGCCGGCCAUAUUAAGUGGGGAAGGAGAGAAAAUUAGUCAAGUGUUGACUAGGUUUCUUUUGUCUAUAUAAGCAACUUUAUAGAGAUAAAGUUCAUUAGGGUUUUUGUGUGUUAAAACAACAAAGAGGCAAAAGAAAAAGAGCUCUCUAAACUACACAAAGGCCGGCCACCAAAGGGGGUUUUUACUAACCUCUCUUACACCCUUUUGGUUAUUCCUUCAUCCUUCUCACUACACUAGUGGGUGAUGAUCUUUAGAGGUUUCCUACUUUGGGAACUUGAAGAGAACCUAGGAGCACUCAUUGUAACAAAGUGGAGGAGGCAAGGAGGGAAGCUAGGCUCAAGGAUUUCAAGGAGCAAAGGGCUUGGAGGUGGUCCAUCCUUGGUCUCAAGUCUAGAUCAAGAGGUAUAAAAGACUAACCUUCUCUUUGUUCUUGAUUCUUUAAAUGUUUUGAUGCAUUAUAUAUAAACCUAUGAACCUUGAAGGGGAUUUGCAUAACUAUAGCUUUGAUAAUAUGUUAUAAAUGCUUCCGCUGCUUUCGUAUAUUAAAUUUGAUUUGGAUAUGCAUGAUAGUCAUUAUGAAAUCCCAUUCUAGAAAUCUCAUAAAUUUCCCUUCAUCCUAUGGCUAGGAACGUUUUAGGAAUGAACAUAAGAGAAAGGUCUCGAUAAUCUAACUCACUUAGAUCACUUAUCUCUUAGAACAAAUACAUUCCUUGGAUUCUCUUAUUGCUUAAACACAUGAUACAAUAAAUAGUGAUUAACAAUAAGAUUUGCCCUUCAUUAAACAUAUAAAAGUUUAAUACAUUAAGUAUUCCAAAAAACUAUUACAUCAAAUGAGUGGCUUUGUGGGCAUACUUCCAACAAUCUCCCACUUGCACUCAAAGCCAUCCUCCCAUGUAUCUAAUACCCAUCCUUUCCAUAUGACGGUCAAGCUGGAUCUGAGACAUUGGCUUUGUCAGUGGAUCUGCUACGUUAUCGGCUGAAGCAACUUUGAGGAUGUUAACUUUCCCCUCGGCAGCAUAUCUUCUAAUGAUAUUAAAGCGUCUGUCAAAAUGCUUGUUCUUUUGAUG
This 1121-nucleotide long non-coding RNA is filed under the name Malus domestica (apple). RNAcentral's name for it is "long non-coding RNA (MDOM_LNC020026)". The record is from RNAcentral. Lineage: Eukaryota; Viridiplantae; Streptophyta; Magnoliopsida; Rosales; Rosaceae.